RNAcentral lists this unclassified non-coding RNA (220 nucleotides) under Hevea brasiliensis (rubber tree). The record is from RNAcentral. Lineage: Eukaryota; Viridiplantae; Streptophyta; Magnoliopsida; Malpighiales; Euphorbiaceae.
GGGUAAGACAUAAUGGCUUUUUUCUUGUGAAGUAUGUCUUGUUUUAAGUUGGAGUAAAUUAUUUUCUACGAGUUGAGGAGGGUCCAUAGUUACAAGUCAGAUAACAUUUUCCUGAAAUUGGAAUCCCUCCUGUUGUUUUGGAUUAAACACAACAAUUAAGUCAGUUAACAAUAAUUUGUGAUUAACAUGUAAAAAGAAAUAUGAUAUUCAUAAAAAUGCC